RNAcentral lists this ribosomal RNA (442 nucleotides) under uncultured bacterium. Its description in RNAcentral is "bacterial SSU rRNA". It matches the Rfam family "Bacterial small subunit ribosomal RNA", at positions 28 to 467 of the family's 1533-position model. The record is from RNAcentral.
GAUGAACGCUAGCGGCAGGCCUAAUACAUGCAAGUCGAACGAUAGUGAGAAGCUUGCUUCUCACGAAAGUGGCGCACGGGUGCGUAACGCGUAUGCAACCUACCUUAAUCAGGGGGAUAGCCCGAAGAAAUUCGGAUUAACACCGCAUAAAAUCACAGUAUAGCAUUAUACAAUGAUCAAAUAUUUAUAGGAUUAAGAUGGGCAUGCGUGACAUUAGUUAGUUGGCGGGGUAACGGCCCACCAAGACCACGAUGUCUAGGGGAUCUGAGAGGAUGACCCCCCACACUGGUACUGAGACACGGACCAGACUCCUACGGGAGGCAGCAGUAAGGAAUAUUGGUCAAUGGAGGCAACUCUGAACCAGCCAUGCCGCGUGCAGGAAGACAGCCCUCUGGGUCGUAAACUGCUUUUAUUCGGGAAUAAACCUAUCUACGUGUAGAUA